RNAcentral lists this ribosomal RNA (519 nucleotides) under uncultured Gammaproteobacteria bacterium. RNAcentral describes it as "bacterial SSU rRNA". It matches the Rfam family "Bacterial small subunit ribosomal RNA", at positions 9 to 524 of the family's 1533-position model. The record is from RNAcentral. Lineage: Bacteria; Pseudomonadati; Pseudomonadota; Gammaproteobacteria.
GAGUUUGAUCAUGGCUCAGAUUGAACGCUGGCGGCAUGCCUAACACAUGCAAGUCGAACGGUAACGCGGGGGCAACCCUGGCGACGAGUGGCGGACGGGUGAGUAAUACGUAGGAAUCUGCCCAUUAGUGGGGGACAACCCGGCGAAAGCCGGGCUAAUACCGCAUACGCUCUACGGAGGAAAACGGGGGAUCGUAAGACCUCGUGCUAAUGGAUGAGCCUACGUCGGAUUAGCUAGUUGGUAGGGUAACGGCCUACCAAGGCGACGAUCCGUAGCUGGUCUGAGAGGACGAUCAGCCACACUGGGACUGAGACACGGCCCAGACUCCUACGGGAGGCAGCAGUGGGGAAUAUUGGACAAUGGGGGCAACCCUGAUCCAGCAAUGCCGCGUGUGUGAAGAAGGCCUGCGGGUUGUAAAGCACUUUCAGAGGGGAAGAAAAAAUCGGGGCUAAUACCCUCGGUCUUGACGUUACCCUUAGAAGAAGCACCGGCUAACUCCGUGCCAGCAGCCGCAGUAAG